RNAcentral lists this ribosomal RNA (448 nucleotides) under uncultured bacterium. RNAcentral's name for it is "partial 16S ribosomal RNA". It matches the Rfam family "Bacterial small subunit ribosomal RNA", at positions 338 to 795 of the family's 1533-position model. The record is from RNAcentral.
CCUACGGGUGGCUGCAGUGGGGAAUAUUGGACAAUGGGGGAAACCCUGAUCCAGCAAUGCCGCGUGUGUGAAGAAGGCCUGCGGGUUGUAAAGCACUUUCGGUUGGGAAGAAAAGUUUGGCGCCAAUACCGCCGAACCUUGACGUUACUGACAGAAGAAGCACCGGCUAACUCUGUGCCAGCAGCCGCGGUAAUACAGCGGGUGCAAGCGGCAAUAAGAGUCACUGGGUGGACAUGGUGGUCAGGUGUGAAAUCCCCGGGCUUAACCUGGGAACUGCAUUCGAUACUACAUGGCUAGAGUAUGGUAGAGGGAAGUGGAAUUUCCGGUGUAGCGGUGAAAUGCGUAGAUAUCGGAAGGAACACCAAUGGCGAAGGCAGCUUCCUGGACUAAUACUGACACUGAGGCACGAAAGCGUGGGUAGCAAACAGGAUUAGAUACCCUUGUAGUC